UACGGAGGGUGCAAGCGUUAUCCGGAUUCACUGGAUUUAAAGGGUGCGUAGGCGGACAGGUAAGUCAGUGGUGAAAUCUCCGAGCUUAACUCGGAAACUGCCUUUGAUACUCUCUGUCUUGAAUAUGGUGGAGGUAAGCGGAAUAUGUCAUGUAGCGGUGAAAUGCUUAGAGAUGACAUAGAACACCUAUUGCGAAGGCAGCUUACUACGCCUAUAUUGACGCUGAGGCACGAAAGCGUGGGGAUCAAACAGG
This 253-nucleotide ribosomal RNA is filed under the name uncultured bacterium. Its description in RNAcentral is "partial 16S ribosomal RNA". It matches the Rfam family "Bacterial small subunit ribosomal RNA", at positions 524 to 776 of the family's 1533-position model. The record is from RNAcentral.